AGAGUUUGAUCAUGGCUCAGGACGAACGCUGGCGGCGUGCUUAACACAUGCAAGUCGAGCGGUAAGGCCUCUUCGGGGGUACACGAGCGGCGAACGGGUGAGUAACACGUGGGUGACCUGCCCUGCACUCUGGGAUAAGCCUGGGAAACUGGGUCUAAUACUGGAUAUUCACAUGUGCCUGCAUGGGUGUGUGUGGAAAG
This 200-nucleotide ribosomal RNA is filed under the name uncultured bacterium. RNAcentral's name for it is "partial 16S ribosomal RNA". It matches the Rfam family "Bacterial small subunit ribosomal RNA", at positions 8 to 206 of the family's 1533-position model. The record is from RNAcentral.